AGGAUAAAAAUAGCGCCAGGUACCUUUUACAUUGGUCGAUAGGAGUAAAAGGUUGACGAGGAAAAGGGUGAUCGAAAAUUCGGCGGAUGCCCUUUCGUAGUUCCCGCUGCGGAUAUAUUGGCAAAUAUGCAGGUAACUGCAAAACAAAUUCAAUAUAACGGGAAAAU
Molecule: regulatory RNA element, 167 nt
Organism: Clostridium sp. CAG:230
Lineage: Bacteria; Bacillati; Bacillota; Clostridia; Eubacteriales; Clostridiaceae
Rfam family: glmS glucosamine-6-phosphate activated ribozyme aptamer
About the family: This entry contains a glucosamine-6-phosphate activated ribozyme that is found in the mRNA for GlmS. GlmS is an enzyme that uses fructose-6-phosphate and glutamine to generate glucosamine-6-phosphate.
Source: Rfam